UAUGAUAUUGGAGUAUAUUCACAACUCUCUCAAUUCUAAAAAGGUCAUAAAUUUAUUUUUUAUAUUAUUGUUAAUAUACUGAUCAUUCUUAGCGCAAGUGGCAAAGGACUUGGUGAUUAGUACCCGAUGUCCCGAGUUCCAAUCCUAGUUAAUUCAUAUUUUCAGUUAAGUUUAUUUUUAAAUGAAAUAAAUGAAGUGGGUAGCAUGUUAUCUAUCUCUCAAAAAAAAAAUAUUAUUGUUAAUGUAAUUUUUUAAAUAAUGACUAG
Molecule: long non-coding RNA, 266 nt
Filed under: Ananas comosus (pineapple)
Lineage: Eukaryota; Viridiplantae; Streptophyta; Magnoliopsida; Poales; Bromeliaceae
Description: long non-coding RNA (ACOM_LNC000228)
Source: RNAcentral